AUGAACGCUGGCGGCGUGCCUCAUACAUGCAAGUCGAGCGAACAGACGAGGAGCUUGCUCCUCUGACGUUAGCGGCGGACGGGUGAGUAACACGUGGAUAACCUACCCAUAAGACUGGGAUAACUUCGGGAAACCGGAGCUAAUACCGGAUAAUAUAUUGAACCGCCUGGUUCAAUAGUGAAAGACGGUUUUGCUGUCACUUAUAGAUGGAUCCGCGCCGCAUUAGCUAGUUGGUAAGGUAACGGCUUACCAAGGCAACGAUGCGUAGCCGACCUGAGAGGGUGAUCGGCCACACUGGAACUGAGACACGGUCCAGACUCCUACGGGAGGCAGCAGUAGGGAAUCUUCCGCAAUGGGCGAAAGCCUGACGGAGCAACGCCGCGUGAGUGAUGAAGGUCUUCGGAUCGUAAAACUCUGUUAUUAGGGAAGAACAAAUGUGUAAGUAACUAUGCACGUCUUGACGGUACCUAAUCAGAAAGCCACGGCUAACUACGUG
Molecule: ribosomal RNA, 496 nt
Filed under: uncultured bacterium
Lineage: Bacteria
Description: partial 16S ribosomal RNA
Rfam family: Bacterial small subunit ribosomal RNA
Source: RNAcentral